RNAcentral lists this non-coding RNA (709 nucleotides) under Pongo abelii (Sumatran orangutan). The record is from RNAcentral. Lineage: Eukaryota; Metazoa; Chordata; Mammalia; Primates; Hominidae.
CGGGGACUCGGGGCUUGAUGCUGCUUGGGCCUGGCCCAGUGGCGGGUCCUAGGACGUGGGUACCUGCAGAGGCCAGCAGAUGGAGAUUCAGAAACAUAAGGACAACAAGAAACUUCCCCAAGGUAUCAUUACAGUCUUUAGACUUCAGACACACACCACACCUCAAAUGUAUACACAACUGAAAUGAAAAUUCAGGAAGUUUUUCAAAGAACCCUAUUCCGAGUAAGAAGUGUGUUGCAUGAAUUUCUAAGAGCCAGAAAAUGCAUGACACAGGAGAAGAUGCACCCUCAUCUGUUCAGUGAGAGAUGUGCAAAUCAACAUCAACACAGAACUGCUGAAGAAAAAAAUAUGUGUGCGUAUGUGUAUAUAUAUGUAUAAGUAUAUAUAUAUAUAUAUUUACAUAUAUAGUAUGGGCUAUUUCACCUUUGCAAGCUGGGAGCCAUUAAGUAAUGGCUCCCACCACUCCCCCACCCCCUUCAGUAAAACACAUCCUGAACAUUGGGCCCAUGUUUUCAAGAAGAAUGUGCCCCACUGCCCCUUGGAAACUCCAUUUCAUUUACUUGGUUCAGUUAGUUAAUGACGGUCCAUUUUGACUCAAAUAUCCAGUUCCCUUUCAUCAAUCAUGUCUUUCUGGACUGUCAGUUUUAGGGAAAGGAUUACAAAGCCCUUCCAUGCAGAUAUCCACAGAGAAAGACCCAGACCCACAUCC